RNAcentral lists this long non-coding RNA (5741 nucleotides) under Brassica napus (rape). RNAcentral's name for it is "long non-coding RNA (BNAP_LNC003228)". Lineage: Eukaryota; Viridiplantae; Streptophyta; Magnoliopsida; Brassicales; Brassicaceae. The record is from RNAcentral.
GGCUUGGAUGUAGUCUUGUUUCUGGUCAAAGGGAGCACGAGAUGGUAGCUGAUUGGUGGAGAGGAGCUGCUGCCUGAUUGGUUAUGCUAAGGCUCCCAUGAACCUUUACUCACAUAUGUGUCUAGAUUCAUGGUCCAACUUGCUUUCCCUUUACAUCUCAUGACAGGCUGUCCUUGGACCACGCCCUCUCUCCUUUCCCUUGCUUUCCAACAGUCACAAAGAAGAUAAGGUCGUCUGAUUGCUCUUGGAAACCAACGCCCUAAGUUUGCACAGCUUCUGGUGAGUUUCCCGGAUGUGUGGUCGAGAGGUGUGGUCGUACGGUCGAUGGUACGGAUCUCCUGUCCGUACCACUCGCCCUAUUUAUGCCCAAUACUCUUCCUCCUUCUUCUGAUCAGUCUAAGUCCCUCCUGGACUUAUCUUCACAAGAUAACUACUUCAGAACACUUCUGAAGCUUGAUUGAACUCUUCUGGACAUCUUCUAGAGCUUGCCCUAUCAUUGUACAAGCUCCAUCUUCUCUUCAGUUCAACACGCCCCCUCAAGCUUGACUUUAGGAGAUCCUAAGCCAAGCUUGGAACUCUGAAGAGUCUCCCUCAUUAAAAACCUUACAAGGAAAACCCAUUGGGACAAAACCUUGUAAGGGAAAAAGAGUAGAGCUCUCCAAAGCCUAGGGAUUGGCCAGUGAACUCUUGUGCCUUAGAACCAGUGUGGUUGGACACAAGAAGCUCUGGAUCACGGCCUAACAGGUGCAGCAACUCUUCACAGCUUUGCGCACACUUCACACUUCAGCUUCACCUCUUCAUGGAACCGGUUUGAAGUCUCCCCCUCUCAACUGACUUCACAGCCAUCUUAGAGAAGCUAGGACACGACCAGAUCAUCUUCAAAACACUAGUGAGGCUGAUCAACACUUCACACACGGCUUGCCCUCUUCAUAGAACUGGUUUGGAUCUCCCCCUCUCAACAGACUUCUCAGCCAUCUUAGAGAAGCUAGGAACUGACCAGGAACAUCUUUAGUGAGGCUCAAGCAAUGGUACCUGAUACAUUAUCCCAAAGGUGCAUCAGUACCUAUCAAAAACAAGAAAAUGAAUAUCCUGCAUCACACUUGAUGCACACAAUCUCACAAUUCAAUCAUAAUCAUCUUAAGUAUCUUUUCAAGCACAAGCAAUGAAUAAGAUGAAUGAAAUAGAUUGAAAAGAGUUUUAAAAGUCUAAGGGAACUUCCCUUGUGUUUUUGUGAGUUUCCAAACUCUCUCAAUGCACCAUCUUCAUGGCAUCAUCAACUUCUUGGAAAGGCAGAAUGGAUUCAUCAGCUUCUCCUCAAUCACCUCUCAUUGAAGCCGCAUUGAUGGAGAGCCUUCCUCUUCACUCGCCAAGGCUGCUCUGAACAGCCUCUUGCCUAGACACGCCACUGACUUGGUCCGGUUGAUGAUCCUUGUAGAAGCUUUUGCAAAAGACUUGUUACUGACCAUGGAUCAUAUGCAUUAAGACUCCCCCUCAAGCUUAGAACCGAAACUAGAAGGAGCUAAGCUUGUGAUGAUCCUAUGCAUCUCCAUGGUCUAAUAACUAUCAUCUUUCAUGAUAGCUUUCUUCUUGUGAGUUUACUCUCUUCCUUAACCAGGAACUAGGGUGUUUGAAUCACCAUAGAGAGUCUCACAAAACACACUUCUCAUUGCAUAAUGACCCAUGCUACACUUCCUGUAGUCUUUGGACUGGAUAUGUCCAAUGGUAUUAUGCAAUGGCCAUCUCUCAUGCAUUAUCAAUCACACUACACUUCCUGUAGAUUAUGGACUAACAUGUCCUAGUGAUGAUAUGCAAUGGCACAAGACCUUUGUCACUACAUUCUUAGCUGUUGGCGAGUUACAUGUAUCACUUUCCUUGUGUACCUAACACCACCACAACUCAAUGCAAGAUCAGAUCAUCCCAUUGGGAUCAAACCAAGAUAAUUUAUCCUGUUUGAUCACCAAUGCCACAGCAGAAUAUAAACCUUGAAACAAGCCAAUCAAUCAAGGCAGAACAAGCAGGUUUCAAUCUCUAAAAUGACAAUGCAAGAUUUAAACAAUACAUUGACAAUUUAGGCUUAUUUUUAAAUGCAUCAAUACAUGAAUGCACAAUCCUAAAGCAUUAACUAUAUGAAUGCAACAGGUUCAAUCCAUGAGACAUAUUAAUCAAGACCAAUGAGGCAAGCAACUUAGACAAUUUCUAAGGGUUAGGAGGUUUGCUUACAAACAAGAGAUCCGAGCUGAUCUCUUGAACCUCCAUGGGCACGGUUCACUUGAACUUGGCAGGUUUGAGGCUUGGAUUCAAUAUCCAACACCUCUCCUUGGUGUGCCCAUCCCUCUUGCAAUGUUCACACCGAUUGUUCCUAUUGGACGUGGGAACACACUUCUUCAAGUGUUGGGAGCUUCUCAGACCUCAAGAUAUGUUGAAUCAAGGCGCUGUAGGCAGGGCUAAGGGCGAGUAAUAGGCAAAACACCUUGUCUUGCUCCCUUCUUUCAAUCAACACCUCCGGAUCAACAGAUUGGGGUCUAAGCAUCUCUAGCUCAGACCAAAGGGCUCUGAACUUGCCUAGAUGCACAGUGAACUCCUCAUCUUCUUGGGAUAGGAUGUUGAUGAACUUCUUGAUCUCAAAUACUCGACAGAGGUUGGAGAUGUACCCAUAUAUCUUGUUAAGUGUACUCCAAAGGUCUUUAGCACUCUCACAGUAUGAGUAUGCUUCAAGGAUGGAUGGAGACAUUGAGCUAUGGAGAAUGGAUAAGACCUUGAGGUCUUCUUGUUCCCACUUCUCCUCAGAUACGGAUUUGGAACCGGAUUCACCAUCUGCUGAGCUUUCAUUUGAACCGGCAGCCUUGGAGAGCUUUGGAGCAUCCGUGAGGCAAUGGCUCCAUAAGCCUCUCCCUCCUAGAGCUGUCUUUACCAUGCGUGACCAGAUGGUCUUGGUUUAAAUUGCCUCACCCUCCUGGUGAUGCUCUUCUUUGUAUGUCAACUGUCCUCUCUACACUCAUCUGAUGUGUAGGCUAUGGUGACUGAACCACCAUGGACAGAACAACAAGUCAUCUCUCCAUUGUCACAACAUCCUCUCUACCCUCUUUGGAGCAGGCUGUGGACUUCCCACAGAAUGUUGGCAACAGGCUUCAUUUUAUCAUUCUAUUGUAAUGAUAAGGAGGAAACAGGUCUUGAACUUUAGCUCUUCAGGUUGCUCAUUUGAAUAUUUAGCACCGCAAGCUUGAGACCGAGAAUAGGUGAGAUCCAAGCUUGAAAUGAGCCUCAAUGAACUUCAAGACCAGGAGCACAUCACCCUAACAGCUGCGCUUAAAUCACUGAUCCACCCUUUUGCCUUUAGCUUCAAGUACCCUCAGAUCACCGGCCUUCCUCAUGGCUUAGGUGGUGACCUUCUUCUUCUUGUGUGUCUUGAACCAGGAGCUCAACAACCUCGUGGCCUGCGCUUCUUAAACCGGCUUCUACACACAAGAACCUUCCCAUUGCUCCACACAAUGGUUGGUCUUCCGCUUGUAUGUCUUGAACCAGGAGCUCAACAACCUCGUGGCCUGCGCUUCUUAAACCGGCUUCUACACACAAGAACCUUCCCAUUGCUCCACACAAUGGUUGGUCUUCCGCUUGUAUGUCUUGAACCAGGAGCUCAACAACCUCGUGGCCUGCGCUUCUUAAACCAGCUUCUACACACAAGUAUCUUCCCAUUGCUCCACACAAUGGUUCAAGUCUUCCUCUUGUCUUGGAUAGGAGGUGAGCAGAGAACACUUCUUGUGAACCUGAAACACCACUCAAACUCCAGCAAGGAUAAGACACAAGAGUAUUGGGAUCAAUCCUUGAUUAAUCAUCAAGUUUGAUUCCCAAUCUCACAAGCAUUGCAACGAAUUAAAACAAGUCAUUUUCAAGUUCUAUCUUUGCAAGCAAUCUCUCUAAGCACAAGCAUUUUCUUUUUCAGUUUAUGCAAGCUACUUAGGCAUUUUAAAGCUUCUUUACUCAGCAUUUAGACAUGAAUCUAAUGCUUCAAUGUAAGACAGCCACAAGACUAUAUGCAACAGCUUUCAAUUCGGUUUCAAUCCAUGUAUGCAAGCAGAUUCAAUCAAUCACAACAAGCAUCAUUAUGAACCGGAGAUAAGCAUAUUAACAUACCUAGUAAUCCUAGUAAUACUGUUAAAUUACUAGUCCUUUUAAAGCGCUUACACAACUGCUAGUAAACUUAGUAUAACUAGUACACUUAAAGGAUUACUAGGGAACCAAGCUCUUUAAGCAUCCUGGGACAGAUUCUAAAUUCAUUUUAUUUCAUUUAGUAAUCUUUUAAACAGUCCUCAGGUUUUCAAUCACAUCACAACAUCACAACCAGUCAACAACACAAGCUCAUUAUCAAGAUGGUUUAUAGAAUUGCUUACAACAAGGAACCAGGUUGAUUCCUUUUGCAUUUUGUGAAACCGGCCAUGACUGUUGUUGGAACUGAGAGUCUAGAUCAUCACCCACCUCCUUCUCCUUCAGUUCAUGGCCACCAUCUUGUACCAUCAACUCAAAAGACCCCUCCUUUCUUCAGAACAUCUAGGCGCCAAGCUCUUGGCACCAUACUCUUUUAGCCUGAUGUGGAACUUCUCUUGGACAAGGAGCUUUGGAGUCAGGUUAGUUAGGCCUCUCCAUACACCUUUGCCUCCAAGGAUAAUCUCCAUCUGAGCAGGUAGAGAACAGGAUGAGGAACCAAGGGAACUCGCCAAGCUUCAGCCUUCUUCUUCAUAAGGGACUGAACUGGAUGGGAAAGCAUCAAUGGUUUGGUUUUGAGCUGAGGCGUGAGCUGUGGACUUGCGGAAGCUUCAGCUCAGGUUCUGAUGAACCUGGCUCUGAUACCAUAUGAGAUUUGUAGAGUUCUCUUCUCUUGUUGUAUGUGUGCGUGAAUACUCCAAUGGAGAAAGAUGAGAGCUUGUUCUAGGUGAUUUAUGAAGAGAGAUUGAUGAGAGUGUUUAUGAGAGAAUAAGAGACUUAGGAACAAAGAUUAAGAGACUGAGAGAUUAGGAGAAUAAGAGAUUAGAGAUUAGGGUUUGAGAUUCAAGAACAAGUUUAUCAUUUAUGAAGUGGAGAGGGGAAAUCCCCCUUACUCCCUUAGGAGUUACAAAACGUUCACAACAAUGCCUUAUAUAGGCUUUUACACUUUGCAAUCAUAAACCCUUAAUCUAAUGGAUAGAAAUGACUUGAGAAAUGGAUGGCUUGGAUGUAGUCUUGUUUCUGGUCAAAGGGAGCACGAGAUGGUAGCUGAUUGGUGGAGAGGAGCUGCUGCCUGAUUGGUUAUGCUAAGGCUCCCAUGAACCUUUACUCACAUAUGUGUCUAGAUUCAUGGUCCAACUUGCUUUCCCUUUACAUCUCAUGACAGGCUGUCCUUGGACCACGCCCUCUCUCCUUUCCCUUGCUUUCCAACAGUCACAAAGAAGAUAAGGUCGUCUGAUUGCUCUUGGAAACCAACGCCCUAAGUUUGCACAGCUUCUGGUGAGUUUCCCGGAUGUGUGGUCGAGAGGUGUGGUCGUACGGUCGAUGGUACGGAUCUCCUGUCCGUACCACUCGCCCUAUUUAUGCCCAAUACUCUUCCUCCUUCUUCUGAUCAGUCUAAGUCCCUCCUGGACUUAUCUUCACAAGAUAACUACUUCAGAACACUUCUGAAGCUUGAUUGAACUCUUCUGGACAUCUUCUAGAGCUUGCCCUAUCAUUGUACAAGCUCCAUCUUCUCUUCAGUUCAACACCGAGACACUCUC